AAAGUCUGAACUGCGUAUCAUCCUUAAUAGUUGAUGCAGCCCUGCAAUGCAAUAUGUAAACAAUUGCGUGCAAAUUAAUUUACCGCACAAGAGAAAACGUGUAAAGAAUUUAAUAAAAUGGGAGGAACUGAAUCCUCUGCAGCUAAUAAAGGCGAAUAAUAAUCAUGUCUUCAAAAAUUCCACAACUAAAACGCGCAAAAGGAAAUCCUGAGAGGAUGUGGCCCAACAAUUCUUCAAGCAAACUGGAACACAACGUAGCUGGAAAGCAUUAAGGGACAAAUACAAAAGCAUGCGCUCGAUAUUUAAGACUAAUAAUCGCCAAAGUUUGGAAAUCGCGAAACCUGAGGAACGCCAGGUUCAUGAACCUGAUGAACACCUAGUUUGAGUAUUGGCUGGGACAUAGUUCCAAGGUUUCGAACCUGUUCGGGUUGCAGUCUUGGUAUGUGGAGAUCUAAAUACCUAAAAAAGAAAAGAUCAUUUCACAAUUGAAACUCGCUUCCUGGUUUUGAGUAUGGUUCGUGAACCUGAUAAACACCCAGUUUGAACAUCGGCUGGGACAUAGUUUCAUAGUUUCGAACCUGUUCGGCUUACAGUCUGGGUAUAUGGAGAUCUACUUACAU
This is a long non-coding RNA of Drosophila virilis, 620 nucleotides long. RefSeq lists it as uncharacterized. NCBI's taxonomy places the organism in Eukaryota, Metazoa, Arthropoda, Insecta, Diptera, Drosophilidae. The record is from RefSeq and is a predicted model, not a curated record.